Non-coding RNA from Schizosaccharomyces pombe (fission yeast), 1016 nucleotides. The record is from the annotation of a GenBank genome assembly. Lineage: Eukaryota; Fungi; Ascomycota; Schizosaccharomycetes; Schizosaccharomycetales; Schizosaccharomycetaceae.
CAAGGAAUAUCCACCCAAGUCUACACUUUUGAACUAGUCAUGUUCAGCGAUGCCGAACACUAGAUAUCUAACUGUUUUGUUCCGAUCAUGGAAUGACAUGUUGACUAGAUCGUCGGUGCUGGUAUUAGACUGCGACCAUUACACAAAAGUUGAUAAACAAGUAAAGAAGAAAGAAUUGCUAUCUAUGUAUAAGUCAUCAAUCAUUAGGUAAUAGAUGAAAAAGUAAAUGAAAUAAAAGAAAAUAAUAAUAACAAUAAAAUAGAGGGGAGGAAAGAUGCCGGCUAUCUGCUAGUUUUCGAUUUCAUGCCGACUUUGAAGCGAUGGGGAAACCAUUCCCUUAGCAAUUGAGGACUAUUUACAUUUCAAAAGCUCGAUAAAUGAAUUCAUUUGAUAAAUUUUACAAGGUGAUGAUGUUUGACAUUUUCGAUUAGGAGUGCAUUGUUAAUUGCCGAACAGGGGGAUUUUUUUGUAAACAGGAUCCGCCCAUAAGAUUAAGGCUUCCUCUUUUCCGAACGGAAGGGAAGUUUGAAGCAAACCUUGAUCCAAUAUAGCUUAUCAAUAUUAAACAAAGAUUAGCUCCAUGUGCCUAUGUUUAACGGCUAGCUAGUAUUGACCGAUUUUAAGAGUAGUUUAAGGCAAAUAGUGUAGGCGUCAUUCGGGCACGUUUCAGUGAUAAAAGCUAGCUAAAGCGGCAUGGAAAAGUGUAUUUCAAGUUUGAAUCACCUAAAAAAGCGGUUAUGGAUUCAUGAAGAUUUGGAUAAUUAUGGGGAGAGGCAAACACGGUUAGUAGGUUAUAGUAACAAGAUUGACAAAAAGGUAGCAUAUGCAAGGUUUAUUGCUUAAAUACCGUUAAGAAACCAAAAAUCGAAUGAUGGUCCCAACAUUGCGAUUUAAGAGGAAAAUGGAGUCAAUUCAUUGAACAGUCUAGUACUUUUUAAAAAAAAAAAAAAAAAAAAAAAAAUUUGAAAUAAAAAUAAAAAUAAAUAUAUGAAUGAAUUAAAUGAAUAAAAGGAGAG